UACGUGGCAACCUAACAUACCAGUGAGGU
This 29-nucleotide non-coding RNA is filed under the name Cricetulus griseus (Chinese hamster). The record is from RNAcentral. Lineage: Eukaryota; Metazoa; Chordata; Mammalia; Rodentia; Cricetidae.